This 240-nucleotide unclassified non-coding RNA is filed under the name soil metagenome. Its description in RNAcentral is "partial contains 5.8S ribosomal RNA, internal transcribed spacer 2, and large subunit ribosomal RNA". The record is from RNAcentral.
AACCAUAGAAACCUGCGGAGUACCUGCGGAAGGAUCAUUACACAAUACAAUAUGAAGGCUGUCCGCAGCUGGAGUAUUUUAUUACCCUUGUCUUUUGCGCACUUGUUGUCUCCUGGGCGGGUUCGCUCGCCACCAGGACCACCAAAUAAACCUUUUUUAUGCAGUUGCAAUCAGCGUCAGUACAAACAAUGUAAAUCAUUUACAACUUUCAACAACGGAUCUCAGAUCGGAAGAGCACAC